GCUAAGAUAAAGGCCUACUGUGUAAGUUUCCUUACACACCUUAGAAUCAAGAAGGCCUCAUGACCCCCUGUGAAGCUUUGGCAACCCAUAGCGGGGGUCCUGAGCCCCAGGUUGGGAACCACUGCCUUAAACAAUUCCAGGAGACAACCGGACAGUAGACAUCUUGUUUUGAUGGAAAACACUCGAUGGAGCGUGUGCUCUCACUCAGGAAGAGAACAUUGUUGCACCAUAUUGGAUCAACUGUCCGGCCAGAAUAUUGUCAUACAAGAUUGUGUACAGAAAUCAAUCUGAAAGAUGUUAAAGUUGUGUAUUGUGUCAUCAUAAUAAAGUCUUUCUUGGGUUGCUUUUACUGUGUCUACAGGUCUUUGAUAAGUGAAUAUUUAUUUGUUAAUAUUUAUUAAUACUGGUCUUGGCAGGUAUUUUAAACAAUACACAGGUACUAUAUAUUUCCACAUUACAUUUGUAUGUUUUAUUGACUUUCAACUGUAUCCAGGCUAUAAUGAGGGCCUGACACAUUCAUUUGUUUGAUCUGUUGUUCAUUUUUACAUAAUAUUUUCCGAAGAAGAGGCCUGCAUCGCAAAUUCCCCUAGAACAUGUACCUUUAAUGGUUUUGUGUGUUCAUACGUUAAGCAAUAAGGCA
This is a long non-coding RNA of Morone saxatilis (striped sea-bass), 640 nucleotides long. RefSeq lists it as uncharacterized. The record is from RefSeq and is a predicted model, not a curated record. NCBI's taxonomy places the organism in Eukaryota, Metazoa, Chordata, Actinopteri, Moronidae. The transcript is spliced from 3 exons.